CAGCAAAUUAGACUUUUUGCCUACUUUGGUGCUGAGAAGCCCAAACUACCAACCAAAGCUUUGGUUUUCUCUGAGGGCUGUCGGUACAGACGAGAGGCCGGGAUUGUUCUCUAGCAACCCCUGCCGGUUGACAAUAAAUGCCAGAAACUGACCCAGAGGCAUUAGUUCAUCCCCACGUUGGAGGGAAGUAAAAAAUGUCAGGCUGAGGGAGAGCAGGUAGCACCUGAACGGGCUAAAACGUAGAUACGUCCGUGACCCAACUUCAACCAACCACGCAACGUCAAUGACCCAGGGGAUGCUGGAGCAACAGGAAGGAAGGAAUUGAUUGAACAAUCACGUGGAGCAAAGCCACGUUGUUAUUUAGGGCUACUACUUAAAUCAGAGAUCAUCUCUGUCUUCU
This 400-nucleotide long non-coding RNA is filed under the name Homo sapiens (human). RNAcentral describes it as "non-protein coding lnc-TNFAIP3-5:4". Lineage: Eukaryota; Metazoa; Chordata; Mammalia; Primates; Hominidae. The record is from RNAcentral.